UCUUUUAUAGGAUAGUUGUAAUCCAUUGGUCUUAGGAGCCAAAAACUUGGUGCAACUCCAAAUAAUUGUU
Molecule: transfer RNA, 70 nt
Filed under: Cricetulus griseus (Chinese hamster)
Lineage: Eukaryota; Metazoa; Chordata; Mammalia; Rodentia; Cricetidae
Rfam family: tRNA
About the family: Transfer RNA (tRNA) molecules are approximately 80 nucleotides in length. Their secondary structure includes four short double-helical elements and three loops (D, anti-codon, and T loops).
Source: Rfam by way of RNAcentral